Molecule: ribosomal RNA, 478 nt
Filed under: uncultured bacterium
Lineage: Bacteria
Description: bacterial SSU rRNA
Rfam family: Bacterial small subunit ribosomal RNA
Source: RNAcentral
GAUGAACGCUAGCGGCAGGCUUAAUACAUGCAAGUCAAGGGGGUAGCAAUACAACCGGCGCACGGGCGAGUAACGCGUACACAACAUACCAUAUACUGGAGUAUAGCUUUGGGAAACUGAAGGUAAUCCUCCAUAACAUUGCGAGAGGGCAUCUGAUUGCAAUUAAAGUUCCGACGGUAUAUGAUUGGUGUGCGUUUGAUUAGCUAGUUGGUAGGGUAACGGCCUACCAAGGCGACGAUCAAUAGCUGGCGUGAGAGCGCGACCAGCCACACUGGAACUGAGACACGGUCCAGACUCCUACGGGAGGCAGCAGUAGGGAAUAUUGGACAAUGGGCGAAAGCCUGAUCCAGCCAUGCCGCGUGAUAGAUGAAGGCCCUCUGGGUUGUAAAUAUCUUUUAUCUGGGAAGAAACUCCUCUAUUCUUAGAGGCCUGACGGUACCAGAGGAAUAAGCACCGGCUAACUCCGUGCCAGCAGCCG